UCGCCUGUUUAUCAAAAACAUGUCUUUUUGAGUUAUUUUUAAAGUCUGACCUGCCCACUGAAAUUUUUAAAUGGCCGCAGUAUUCUAACUGUGCAAAGGUAGCAUAAUCAUUAGUCUUUUAAUUGAAGGCUGGUAUGAACGGUUGGACGAGGUAUAAGCUGUUUCAUAUAAAUUUAUAAUAGAAUUUUAUAUUUUAGUCAAAAAGCUAAAAUAUUAUUAAAAGACGAGAAGACCCUAUAAAUCUUUAUAUUUUUUUUUAUUUAAAUUUUUUGGAUUUAUUUUAUUUUUAUAAUGGAGAAUAUUUUGUUGGGGUGAUGUUAAAAUUUAAUGAACUUUUAAUUAUAAAAAUCAUUAAUUUAUGAGUUAUUGAUCCAUUAGUAGUGAUUAUAAGAUUAAGUUACUUUAGGGAUAACAGCGUAAUUUUUUUGGAGAGUUCAUAUCGAUAAAAAAGUUUGCGACCUCGAUGUUGGAUUAAGAUAUAAUUUUAGGUGUAGCCGCUUAAAUGCUAAGUCUUUUUCGGCAAAC
This 525-nucleotide ribosomal RNA is filed under the name Zeugodacus cucurbitae (melon fly). RNAcentral's name for it is "partial 16S ribosomal RNA". It matches the Rfam family "Bacterial large subunit ribosomal RNA", at positions 1796 to 2589 of the family's 2925-position model. The record is from RNAcentral. Lineage: Eukaryota; Metazoa; Arthropoda; Insecta; Diptera; Tephritidae.